This 301-nucleotide ribosomal RNA is filed under the name uncultured bacterium. RNAcentral's name for it is "partial 16S ribosomal RNA". It matches the Rfam family "Bacterial small subunit ribosomal RNA", at positions 509 to 807 of the family's 1533-position model. The record is from RNAcentral.
CAGUCGCCACGGUAAUACGUAGGUGGCAAGCGUUGUCCGGAAUUAUUGGGCGUAAAGGGCUCGCAGGCGGUUUCUUAAGUCUGAUGUGAAAGCCCCCGGCUCAACCGGGGAGGGUCAUUGGAAAUUGGGAAACUUGAGUGCAGAAGAGGAGAGUGGAAUUCCACGUGUAGCGGUGAAAUGCGUAGAGAUGUGGAGGAACACCAGUGGCGAAGGCGACUCUCUGGUCUGUAACUGACGCUGAGGAGCGAAAGCGUGGGGAGCGAACAGGAUUAGAUACCCCCGUAGUCCCUGUCUCUUAUAC